RNAcentral lists this long non-coding RNA (948 nucleotides) under Salvia miltiorrhiza (redroot sage). Its description in RNAcentral is "long non-coding RNA (SMIL_LNC005422)". The record is from RNAcentral. Lineage: Eukaryota; Viridiplantae; Streptophyta; Magnoliopsida; Lamiales; Lamiaceae.
UCACUAGGCUCUUCUCCCACUGCUCUCUCUCUCUAUUUCUAAACACACACACACACACUACACACACUGAGGGAGGGUGUGUGUGUGUCUGUGCGUGUGGGCGAUGGAAUUUGAUUGCCCCGAGGCAGCAAAACAGGUACUAAUAGUGGUGGCAUUCAUAACUUCUUCAAAAGACCAAAAGGAUUUGCAUUUUGUGUUUCUUGUCUGUUUUUGCAUUUCCCACUUACAUAAAAGGCUUCUACUUUUCUUCUUCUUUUCUCUCUUUUCUUCACCCUCCUUUUCCUAUUCUUGGUCUUGCUAGUCUUUGCAUUUCGAUUUGGGAUUUUCUGGAGUUUCCCAUUUCAGCAAUUUGAUAUUAAAAAUUGAAUCUUGUCGAUGGGGUUGGUGGAAAGAAUUGGGUGGAUGCAGAGCAAUGGCAGGAAGGAGUGCAGAAGAUUAGUGUGGAGGAUAAAAGCAGCAAUAAAGAAGGCAAUGAGGAAAGGAAGCAGACAGCACUUGAGAUUUCAGUAUGAUCCUCAUAGUUAUGCCCUCAACUUUGAUGAUGGAAGUCACCAAGCAGAUUUUCCCCUUGAAAAAUUUAGAGAUACAGUUUUCAUUUAUGUUGUGUGGCUGGAGUGAAUCCAAGGAGGUGGCUGCAAUUUGCUUUGCUAUAUAGCUACUAGUAUAUGAGUAUCUCAUCUUUGUUUACCCCCUUUUUUUUCAAUGCAUGGGGAAAUUUACCCAUUUUGGGUUUUAUUUAUUUUUAUAUGUUUUGGGGUAAUGUUAUUGCAAGAUGAGAGUUGAUGAUGUGUUUUUUUCGGAAAUUACUUAAAAGUUUUUUGAGGAAAAAUAUACAUGUGUUUUUAUUAGCACUGAUAAUUAAGAAGGAAGGCAUCCUAAGAAUAAGAACAAGUGUGAGCUUUUACACUCGCUCCCUUUACUUUCGGCAACCAUUUUCAUUCUCUAAAG